This 506-nucleotide long non-coding RNA is filed under the name Mus spicilegus (steppe mouse). RNAcentral describes it as "lncRNA (ENSMSIG00000021083.1)". The record is from RNAcentral. Lineage: Eukaryota; Metazoa; Chordata; Mammalia; Rodentia; Muridae.
UCUCCCCAGGUGAAGCCAAAGUACAUUUUCGAAGGACAGUGACUAUCAUCUGGGCUGCAGGUCAUUGUCACAGAGGCUUGCUCUUACCUGGGGACUGCUGUCCAAGCUGGGCCCUGGACACCCUGAAGAACUGGAGACAUGCUUGCCCACAGAGAGCACCGGGUUCAUCUGGCCGGCGUUACAGUUACAUCAAAUGAGGUUCCACCCUUUGGGAGUCUCCCUGUCCAAGCACCACCAUACUAGGAGCCACGUCUCUGACACUCGCACCCUAAGGAAACGCAUUCAAAGCACAGCAUGCCAAUGCUUCAAGAUCCAUCCUAGUCCCCGAGGCCUGGUGUCUAUCUGUGUACUUUGAUACCAUCCGAGUAGAUCUUUGGGGCCAUGGCCUGGCCAGAGCAGCCAAAGAGUUGUAGCUCUUCAAGGGGAGGACAGGAACCUACUUGUGAGUAGAUUUAAAUGUCUAUUGUUCUCAAUUAUGAGGAUUGUUGGGGUUUCUUAAUCUGCUC